UUCUCCUACGGGGGGCAGCAGUGAGGAAUAUUGGUCAAUGGGCGAGAGCCUGAACCAGCCAAGUCGCGUGAGGGAAGACGGCCCUACGGGUUGUAAACCUCUUUUGUCAGGGAGCAAGAACGGAUACGUGUAUCCGAGCGAGAGUACCUGAAGAAAAAGCAUCGGCUAACUCCGUGCCAGCAGCCGCGGUAAUACGGAGGAUGCGAGCGUUAUCCGGAAUUAUUGGGUGUAAAGGGUGCGUAGACGGGAAAACAAGUUAGUUGUGAAAUCCCUCGGCUUAACUGAGGAACUGCAACUAAAACUAU
Molecule: ribosomal RNA, 305 nt
Filed under: uncultured bacterium
Lineage: Bacteria
Description: bacterial SSU rRNA
Rfam family: Bacterial small subunit ribosomal RNA
Source: RNAcentral